CAUGUAGGCGGGCUUUUAAGUCCGACGUGAAAAUGCGGGGCUUAACCCCGUAUGGCGUUGGAUACUGGAAGUCUUGAGUGCAGGAGAGGAAAGGGAAAUUCCCAGUGUAGCGGUGAAAUGCGUAGAUAUUGGGAGGAACACCAGUGGCGAAGGCGCCUUUCUGGACUGUGUCUGACGCUGAGAUGCGAAAGCCAGGGUAGCAAACG
RNAcentral lists this ribosomal RNA (206 nucleotides) under uncultured bacterium. RNAcentral's name for it is "partial 16S ribosomal RNA". It matches the Rfam family "Bacterial small subunit ribosomal RNA", at positions 568 to 774 of the family's 1533-position model. The record is from RNAcentral.